CCUACGGGUGGCUGCAGUGGGGAAUAUUGGACAAUGGGCGAAAGCCUGAUCCAGCCAUGCCGCGUGUGUGAAGAAGGCCUUCGGGUUGUAAAGCACUUUCAGUGGGGAAGAAAGCCUUGGGGCUAAUACCCUCGAGGAAGGACAUCACCCACAGAAGAAGCACCGGCUAACUCCGUGCCAGCAGCCGCGGUAAUACGGAGGGUGCGAGCGUUAAUCGGAAUUACUGGGCGUAAAGCGCGCGUAGGCGGUCUGAUAAGCCGGUUGUGAAAGCCCCGGGCUCAACCUGAGAACGGCAUCCGGAACUGUCAGGCUAGAGUGCAGGAGAGGAAGGUAGAAUUCCCGGUGUAGCGGUGAAAUGCGUAGAGAUCGGGAGGAAUACCAGUGGCGAAGGCGGCCUUCUGGACUGACACUGACGCUGAGGUGCGAAAGCGUGGGUAGCAAACAGGAUUAGAUACCCCUGUAGUC
Molecule: ribosomal RNA, 465 nt
Filed under: Vreelandella stevensii
Lineage: Bacteria; Pseudomonadati; Pseudomonadota; Gammaproteobacteria; Oceanospirillales; Halomonadaceae
Description: partial 16S ribosomal RNA
Rfam family: Bacterial small subunit ribosomal RNA
Source: RNAcentral